This 433-nucleotide ribosomal RNA is filed under the name uncultured bacterium. RNAcentral describes it as "partial 16S ribosomal RNA". It matches the Rfam family "Bacterial small subunit ribosomal RNA", at positions 29 to 507 of the family's 1533-position model. The record is from RNAcentral.
AACGAACGCUGGCGGCAUGCCUAACACAUGCAAGUCGAACGAGACCUUCGGGUCUAGUGGCGCACGGGUGCGUAACGCGUGGGAACCUGCCCUUAGGUUCGGAAUAACUCCCCGAAAGGGGUGCUAAUACCGGAUAAUGUCUUCGGACCAAAGAUUUAUCGCCUUUGGAUGGGCCCGCGUUGGAUUAGCUAGUUGGUAGGGUAAAAGCCUACCAAGGCGACGAUCCAUAGCUGGUCUGAGAGGAUGAUCAGCCACACUGGGACUGAGACACGGCCCAGACUCCUACGGGAAGCAGCAGUGGAGAAUAUUGGACAAUGGGCGAAAGCCUGAUCCAGCAAUGCCGCGUGAGUGAUGAAGGCCUUAGGGUUGUAAAGCUCUUUUACCCGGGAUGAUAAUGACAGUACCGGGAGAAUAAGCUCCGGCUAACUCCGUG